Molecule: ribosomal RNA, 460 nt
Filed under: uncultured bacterium
Lineage: Bacteria
Description: partial 16S ribosomal RNA
Rfam family: Bacterial small subunit ribosomal RNA
Source: RNAcentral
CCUACGGGAGGCAGCAGUGAGGAAUAUUGGUCAAUGGGCGUAAGCCUGAACCAGCCAAGUCGCGUGAGGGAUGAAGGCCCUAUGGAUUGUAAACCUCUUUUAUAAGGGAAUAAAGUGCGGCACGUGUGCCGUUUUGUAGGUACCUUAUGAAUAAGGAUCGGCUAAUUCCGUGCCAGCAGCCGCGGUAAUACGGAGGUUCCGAGCGUUAUCCGGAUUUAUUGGGUUUAAAGGGUGCGUAGGCCGCCUUUUAAGUCAGCGGUGAAAGGCUGUGGCUCAACCAUAGAAUUGCCGUUGAAACUGGGUGGCUUGAGUAUGUUGAAGGCAGGCGGAAUGCGUGGUGUAGCGGUGAAAUGCUUAGAUAUCACGCAGAACCCCGAUUGCGAAGGCAGCAUACGAAGGCACUACUGACGCUGAAGCACGAAGGCGUGGGGAUCGAACAGGAUUAGAUACCCUUGUAGUC